This 498-nucleotide ribosomal RNA is filed under the name uncultured bacterium. Its description in RNAcentral is "bacterial SSU rRNA". It matches the Rfam family "Bacterial small subunit ribosomal RNA", at positions 903 to 1397 of the family's 1533-position model. The record is from RNAcentral.
AAAUGAAUAGACGGGGACCCGCACAAGCAGCGGAGCAUGUGGUUUAAUUCGAAGCAACGCGAAGAACCUUACCUAGACUUGACAUCUCAAGCAUUAACCUUAAUCGGUAAAAUCCUCUUUUCGGAGAGGACUUGAAGACAGGUGGUGCAUGGUUGUCGUCAGCUCGUGUCGUGAGAUGUUGGGUUAAGUCCCGCAACGAGCGCAACCCUUGUUUUUAGUUGCCAUCAUUAAGUUGGGCACUCUAAAGAGACUGCCUGGGUUAACCAGGAGGAAGGUGGGGAUGACGUCAAAUCAUCAUGCCCCUUAUGUCUAGGGCUACACACGUGCUACAAUGGCAAGGACAGAAAGAAGCAAUACUGUAAAGUGGAGCAAAACUCAAAACCUUGUCCCAGUUCGGAUUGUGGGCUGAAACUCGCCCACAUGAAGUUGGAGUUGCUAGUAAUCGCGAAUCAGAAUGUUGCGGUGAAUACGUUCCCGGGUCUUGUACACACCGCCCGU